CCUUGAUGAACGCUAGCUACAGGCUUAACACAUGCAAGUCGAGGCGUAGCAUUUCAGUUUGCUUGCAAACUGGAGAUGGCGACCGGCGCACGGGUGAGUAACACGUAUCCAACCUGCCGAUAACUCGGGGAUAGCCUUUCGAAAGAAAGAUUAAUACCCGAUGGCAUAAUUAGACCGCAUGGUCUUAUUAUUAAAGAAUUUCGGUUAUCGAUGGGGAUGCGUUCCAUUAGGCAGUUGGUGAGGUAACGGCUCACCAAACCUUCGACGGAUAGGGGUUCUGAGAGGAAGGUCCCCCACAUUGGAACUGAGACACGGUCCAAACUCCUACGGGAGGCAGCAGUGAGGAAUAUUGGUCAAUGGGCGCAGGCCUGAACCAGCCAAGUAGCGUGAAGGAUGAAGGCUCUAUGGGUCGUAAACUUCUUUUAUAUGGGAAUAAAGUUUUCCACGUGUGGAAUUUUGUAUGUACCAUAUGAAUAAGGAUCGGCUAACUCCGUGCCAGCAGCCGCGGUAAUACGGAGGAUCCGAGCGUUAUCCGGAUUUAUUGGGUUUAAAGGGAGCGUAGGUGGACAGUUAAGUCAGUUGUGAAAGUUUGCGGCUCAACCGUAAAAUUGCAGUUGAUACUGGCUGUCUUGAGUACAGUAGAGGUGGGCGGAAUUCGUGGUGUAGCGGUGAAAUGCUUAGAUAUCACGAAGAACUCCGAUUGCGAAGGCAGCUCACUGGACUGCAACUGACACUGAUGCUCGAAAGUGUGGGUAUCAAACAGGAUUAGAUACCCUGGUAGUCCACACAGUAAACGAUGAAUACUCGCUGUUUGCGAUAUACAGUAAGCGGCCAAGCGAAAGCAUUAAGUAUUCCACCUGGGGAGUACGCCGGCAACGGUGAAACUCAAAGGAAUUGACGGGGGCCCGCACAAGCGGAGGAACAUGUGGUUUAAUUCGAUGAUACGCGAGGAACCUUACCCGGGCUUAAAUUGCAUUUGAAUAUAUUGGAAACAGUAUAGCCGUAAGGCAAAUGUGAAGGUGCUGCAUGGUUGUCGUCAGCUCGUGCCGUGAGGUGUCGGCUUAAGUGCCAUAACGAGCGCAACCCUUAUCUUUAGUUACUAACAGGUCAUGCUGAGGACUCUAGAGAGACUGCCGUCGUAAGAUGUGAGGAAGGUGGGGAUGACGUCAAAUCAGCACGGCCCUUACGUCCGGGGCUACACACGUGUUACAAUGGGGGGUACAGAAGGCAGCUACCUGGUGACAGGAUGCUAAUCCCAAAAGCCUCUCUCAGUUCGGAUCGAAGUCUGCAACCCGACUUCGUGAAGCUGGAUUCGCUAGUAAUCGCGCAUCAGCCAUGGCGCGGUGAAUACGUUCCCGGGCCUUGUACACACCGCCCGUCAAGCCAUGAAAGCCGGGGGUACCAGAAGUACGUAACCGCAAGGAGCGUCCUAGGGUA
Molecule: ribosomal RNA, 1437 nt
Filed under: uncultured organism
Description: SSU rRNA
Rfam family: Bacterial small subunit ribosomal RNA
Source: RNAcentral